GGCGAACUGCUCAGUAACACGUAGCUAACCUACCCUUAGGUCAGACAUACCCUCGGGAAACUGAGGUUAAUAUCUGAUAGGAGAUUUAUACUGGAAAGAUUUAUCUUUAAAAUUCGAGCCUAAGGAUGGGGCUGCGGUGGAUUAGGUCGUUGGCGGGGUAAUAGCCCACCAAGCCGUUGAUCCAUAGGGGCUCUUAGCGGAGAAGCCCCGAGAGGGAAUCUGAGACACUAUUCCCAGCCCUACGGGGUGCAGCAGUUAGGAAUAUUCUGCAAUGCGCGCAAGCGUGACAGAUUGAGUCAGAGUGCGCUUCAAUUUGGAGUGCUUUUGUGAAAUGUAAAAAGUUUCACGAAUAAGGACUGGGUAAGACGAGUGCCAGCCGCCGCGGUAAUACUCGCGGUCCAAGUCGCAGCCAUUUUUAUUGGGUCUAAAACAUCCGUAGCUUGCUUGGUGAGUUCCUUGUGAAAUUCCAUAUCUCAAAUAUGGAGCGUGCAGGGAGUACUGCCAAGCUAGAGACUGGAAGACGUAACGAGUACGUUCGGAGUAGCGGUAAAAUGUGUUAAUCCCGGACGGACUAACAAUAGCGAAAGCACGUUACGAGGACAGUUCUGACAGUCAGGGAUGAAGGCUAGGGGCGCAAGACGGAUUAGAUACCCGUGUAGUCCUAGCAGUAAACACUGCACACUAAACAUUAGUACCUCCUCGAGAGGUAUUGGUGCUGAAGGGAAGCCGAAGAGUGUGCUACCUGGGAAGUAUAGUCGCAAGGCCGAAACUUAAAGGAAUUGGCGGGGAGACACUACAACGAGUGACGCGUGCGGUUCAAUUAGAUUCUACACCGUGAACCUCACCAGGAGCGACAGCAGAAUGAAGGUCAGUCUGAAGGGCUUACCUGACACGCUGAGAUGAGCUGCAUGGCCGACGUCAGCCUGUGCCGUGAGGUGACCUGUUAAAUCAGGUAACAGGCAAGACCCUCACCUAUAUUUACUAAGUGUACAAUAUGGGG
RNAcentral lists this ribosomal RNA (1000 nucleotides) under uncultured euryarchaeote. RNAcentral's name for it is "partial 16S ribosomal RNA". It matches the Rfam family "Archaeal small subunit ribosomal RNA", at positions 80 to 1103 of the family's 1478-position model. The record is from RNAcentral. Lineage: Archaea; Methanobacteriati; Methanobacteriota.